This 329-nucleotide unclassified non-coding RNA is filed under the name soil metagenome. RNAcentral's name for it is "partial contains 5.8S ribosomal RNA, internal transcribed spacer 2, and large subunit ribosomal RNA". The stretch from base 1 to 120 matches the Rfam family "5.8S ribosomal RNA", at positions 35 to 154 of the family's 154-position model. The record is from RNAcentral.
GAUGAAGAACGCAGCGAAAUGCGAUAAGUAGUGUGAAUUGCAGAAUUCAGUGAAUCAUCGAAUCUUUGAACGCACAUUGCGCCCCUUGGUAUUCCGAGGGGCAUGCCUGUUCGAGCGUCAUUAUAACCCCUCAAGCUCAGCUUGGUGUUGGGGCCUGCUGCACUGGCAGCCCUUAAAAUCAGUGGCGGCGCCAUCUGGCUCUAAGCGUAGUAAUUCUUCUCGCUAUGGAGUCCUGGUGGAUGCUUGCCAUCAACCCCCAAUUUUUCUAUGGUUGACCUCGGAUCAGGUAGGGAUACCCGCUGAUCUUAAGCAUAUCAAUAAGCGGAGGA